Molecule: ribosomal RNA, 1597 nt
Filed under: Chlamydotis macqueenii (Macqueen's bustard)
Lineage: Eukaryota; Metazoa; Chordata; Aves; Otidiformes; Otididae
Description: 16S ribosomal RNA
Rfam family: Bacterial large subunit ribosomal RNA
Source: RNAcentral
AGCUUACAUCUAGCUCAACCACAGUAUGACUAAAAAGAUCAAAAAUUUACUUUAUUACUAAACUAAAACAUUCUCUCAACUUAGUAUAGGCGAUAGAAAAGACCUCCUGACGCGAUAGAAAAUUGUACCGUAAGGGAAUAAUGAAAUAAUAAUGAAAAAUCAAGCUACAAACAGCAAAGAUAAGCCCUUGUACCUUUUGCAUCAUGGUUUAGCAAGAAUAAUCAAGCAAAACGAAUUUAAGCUUGUCGCCCCGAAACCCAAGCGAGCUACUUUCGAGCAGCUGCCUUAGAGCGAACCCGUCUCUGUUGCAAAAGAGUGGGAUGACUUGCUAGUAGAGGUAAAAAGCCAACCGAGCUGGGUGAUAGCUGGUUGCCUGUGAAAUGAAUCUUAGUUCUCCCUUAAUUCCUUCCCCCAAGGGCCAUUAGCAACUCAACCCGUCUGUGACGAAUUAAGAGUAAUUUGAAGGGGGUACAGCCCCUUCAAAAAAGAGUACAAUCUCCCCUAGAGGAUAACCCCUCCUACCCUAACUAAACCUGUGGGCCUUCAAGCAGCCACCAACAAAGAGUGCGUCAAAGCUCUCCUCCCGCAAAAAUCCAAAAACACUAUGACUCCCUUACCACUAACAGGCCAUCCUAUAAAUAAUAGGAGUACAAAUGCUAAAAUGAGUAACUAGGGACCCUCCCCUCCCAAGCGCAAGCUUACAUUUUCACAUUAUUAACAGACUAGCUAAUAUCGCAACCUCGACAAGAUUAAAUAUUAACAACCUCUGUUACCCCAACUCAGGAGCGCCCAAUUAGAAAGAUUAAAACCUGUAAAAGGAACUAGGCAAACCUAAGGCCCGACUGUUUACCAAAAACAUAGCCUUCAGCCCUCCAAGUAUUGAAGGUGAUGCCUGCCCAGUGACACUAUGUUUAACGGCCGCGGUAUCCUAACCGUGCAAAGGUAGCGCAAUCAAUUGUCCCAUAAAUCGAGACUUGUAUGAACGGCUAAACGAGGUCUUAACUGUCUCUUUCAGGUAAUCCGUGAAAUUGAUCUUCUUGUGAAAAAGCAAGAAUAGGCACAUAAGACGAGAAGACCCUGUGGAACUUAAAAAUCAGUAGCCACCCCACACAAACCCAAACCUACAAGGCCCACUGCUUACAAAACUGCUGGCUUACAUUUUUUCGGUUGGGGCGACCUUGGAGAAAAGCAAAUCCUCCAAAAAUAAGACCACCCCUCUUAACCAAGAGCGACAUCUCUAAGUGCUAAUAGUACCCAGACCCAAUACUAUUGAUUAAUGGACCAAGCUACCCCAGGGAUAACAGCGCAAUCUCCUUCAAGAGCCCCUAUCGACAAGGAGGUUUACGACCUCGAUGUUGGAUCAGGACAUCCUAAUGGUGCAGCCGCUAUUAAGGGUUCGUUUGUUCAACGAUUAACAGUCCUACGUGAUCUGAGUUCAGACCGGAGCAAUCCAGGUCGGUUUCUAUCUAUGAUGAACUUUCCCUAGUACGAAAGGACCGGAAAAGUAGGGCCAAUACUACAAGCACGCCCUCCCUAGAGUAAUGAAUCCAACUAAAUUACUAAAAGGCCACUCACUCACCAUCCUAGAAAAGGAUCG